RNAcentral lists this ribosomal RNA (491 nucleotides) under uncultured bacterium. RNAcentral describes it as "partial 16S ribosomal RNA". It matches the Rfam family "Bacterial small subunit ribosomal RNA", at positions 29 to 506 of the family's 1533-position model. The record is from RNAcentral.
AGUGAACGCUGGCGGUAGGCCUAACACAUGCGAGUCGAACGGCAGCACAGUAAGAGCUUGCUCUUACGGGUGGCGAGUGGCGGACGGGUGAGGAAUACAUCGGAAUCUACUUUUUCGUGGGGGAUAACGUAGGGAAACUUACGCUAAUACCGCAUACGACCUACGGGUGAAAGCAGGGGAUCUUCGGACCUUGCGCGAUUGAAUGAGCCGAUGUCGGAUUAGCUAGUUGGCGGGGUAAAGGCCCACCAAGGCGACGAUCCGUAGCUGGUCUGAGAGGAUGAUCAGCCACACUGGAACUGAGACACGGUCCAGACUCCUACGGGAGGCAGCAGUGGGGAAUAUUGGACAAUGGGCGCAAGCCUGAUCCAGCCAUACCGCGUGGGUGAAGAAGGCCUUCGGGUUGUAAAGCCCUUUUGUUGGGAAAGAAAAGCAGCAGGUUAAUACCCCGCUGUUCUGACGGUACCCAAAGAAUGAGCACCGGCUAACUUCGU